This 1207-nucleotide long non-coding RNA is filed under the name Carica papaya (papaya). RNAcentral describes it as "long non-coding RNA (CPAP_LNC003112)". The record is from RNAcentral. Lineage: Eukaryota; Viridiplantae; Streptophyta; Magnoliopsida; Brassicales; Caricaceae.
UGUUUUACACUGUUUUACAGCUUUAAAUGCAUUAUGGGGUUUGAUGUGUUCAUUUUACAGAUUUGUGUGCAUAUACUACGUUUUUACUAAUUAUGGGUUGAAUGACUGAAAAAAACUGAUAUUGUAUGUUGUCUGUUGAUAUGAAUUACGAUUUGCUUGUUUAAAUGUGAAUUGAUGAUGUUGAUUGAGGAAAAGGAAAAUGAAAGAUUGUAUACACUGAUAAUUGUAUUAUGGGGGUCAGCCUGACUAGAUAUCCUGGGAGAUGGUGGACGGACCGGGUCCGUAGGGAACCCUACCGGGAUCGUGGUCUCACAUGCCGGACGGGGUAUGGAGAUCUUAUGGUUUUGGCGCCCAUACCGGACGGGGUAUGGGGACGGCCCGUUUCACCCUCAUACCGGACGGGGUAUUGAGGUUUAUGGUUUUGGCGCCCAUACCGGACGGGGUAUGGGGACGGCCCGUUUCACCCUCAUACCGGACGGGGUAUUGAGGUUCAUGGUUUUGGCGCCCAUACCGGACGGGGUAUGGGGACGGCCCUGGAAACUGAUUAUGAAUGUUAAAGGUUAACGGGUAGCGGAACCCCUAUGGACCCCCAUGGAUACUAGUAGGCUGGUAAAUGAGAAAAAAGAUAUGUUGUACAAUGAUUGUAUUACAAGGGGUGUGAUAAGUGUUAUGCUUUACAGCUUAGAUUAUUCAAUGAUUAUGAUAAUGUUAUUGUUUUCUCAUAUUGUUUUCAUAAAUUCCACCAAGGUAAGUGGAUGGUAAAAGUUUUAUUAUUGAUAAAAGGUUUUGUUGUAAAUUAUGCUCCAUUGGUCUUUUUGUGGUUUUCUACCCACCUUUAUCUCCGUGACGGUGAGAUAUCGUGAUGUUCUUACUGGGCUAGUGUAGCUCAUUCCUUAAUUAACCAUUUCAGAUCAGGAAGACAUGGUUCCCGAGCCCGUUCCGCAGGAGGACGACGAAGGGGAUGCCUAGAGACUCUGUAGUCACACGCAUAGUUUAUUUUCGAGUUUUCUUUCUUAGUUAGUUUAACCUUUUAUAUUUUAAGUACGUUUGUUUGGUUUUUCGUGUAAGGGAUGUUAAUUGAAAUUUUGAUCUCGCUUCCGCAUUCGAUAUGAUUUAAAUACUCAUUUCAUUUUAAUAUUUUCCGGGGCCGUUACAAAACAUAUCUAUAAUGCAUAAUAAGUUUACACCCUUCAGGUUUAGCCAAAAG